GAUGAACGCUAGCGGGAGGCUUAACACAUGCAAGUCGAGGGGUAGCAGGAGUAGCAAUACUUGCUGACGACCGGCGCACGGGUGAGUAACACGUAUGCAACCUGCCCUAUACAGGAGGAUAGCCCGGAGAAAUUCGGAUUAAUACUCCAUAAGACAUUAGAAUCGCAUGAUUUAGAUGUUAAAGUUACGACGGUAUAGGAUGGGCAUGCGCCCCAUUAGCUAGUUGGUGAGGUAACGGCUCACCAAGGCAACGAUGGGUAUGGGGGUCUAAAAGGAUGGUCCCACACACUGGCACUGAGACACGGGCCAGACUCCUACGGGAGGCAGCAGUGAGGAAUAUUGGUCAAUGGGCGGAAGCCUGAACCAGCCAUCCCGCGUGCAGGAUGACAGCCCUAGAGGUUGUAAACUGCUUUCUUCAGGAAGAAUAAGAACUACGUGUAGUUCGAUGACUGUACUGGGGAAUAAGCAUCGGCUAACUCCGUGCCAG
This 487-nucleotide ribosomal RNA is filed under the name uncultured bacterium. RNAcentral describes it as "bacterial SSU rRNA". It matches the Rfam family "Bacterial small subunit ribosomal RNA", at positions 28 to 511 of the family's 1533-position model. The record is from RNAcentral.